This 229-nucleotide ribosomal RNA is filed under the name uncultured bacterium. RNAcentral describes it as "partial 16S ribosomal RNA". It matches the Rfam family "Bacterial small subunit ribosomal RNA", at positions 524 to 747 of the family's 1533-position model. The record is from RNAcentral.
UACGAAGGGGACUAGCGUUGUUCGGAUUUACUGGCGUAAAGGGCGCGUAGGCGGUCGUGACAAGUCACUUGUGAAAAUCUCCGGGCUUUAACUCGGAACGGUCAAGUGAUACUGUCGGACUAGAGUACAGAAGGGGCAACUGGAAUUCUCGGUGUAGCGGUGGAAAAUGCGUAGAUAUCGAGAGGAACACCUGCGGCGAAGGCGGGUUGCUUGGGCUGAUACUGACGCU